Molecule: ribosomal RNA, 467 nt
Filed under: uncultured bacterium
Lineage: Bacteria
Description: partial 16S ribosomal RNA
Rfam family: Bacterial small subunit ribosomal RNA
Source: RNAcentral
ACGAACGCUGGCGGCGUGCUUAACACAUGCAAAUCGAACGGAAAGGCCCUGCUUUUGUGGGGUGCUCGAGUGGCGAACGGGUAAGUAACACGUGAGUAACCUGCCCUUGACUUUGGGAUAACUUCAGGAAACUGGGGCUAAUACCGGAUAGGAGCUCCUGCUGCAUGGUGGGGGUUGGAAAGUUUCGGCGGUUGGGGAUGGACUCGCGGCUUAUCAGCUUGUUGGUGGGGUAGUGGCUUACCAAGGCUUUGACGGGUAGCCGGCCUGAGAGGGUGACCGGCCACAUUGGGACUGAGAUACGGCCCAGACUCCUACGGGAGGCAGCAGUGGGGAAUAUUGCACAAUGGGCGGAAGCCUGAUGCAGCAACGCCGCGUGCGGGAUGACGGCCUUCGGGUUGUAAACCGCUUUCGCCUGUGACGAAGCGUGAGUGACGGUAAUGGGUAAAGAAGCACCGGCUAACUACGUG